This is a non-coding RNA of Peromyscus maniculatus bairdii (prairie deer mouse), 663 nucleotides long. The record is from RefSeq and is a predicted model, not a curated record. NCBI's taxonomy places the organism in Eukaryota, Metazoa, Chordata, Mammalia, Rodentia, Cricetidae.
UAACAGAGGAAGAAGACGGUGCUAGCAUUGGAUCAUGAUAAUCUCUGGAAGGAGCUACAGCAUUCCUGUGCAUCUCGGCCUGUGGAGUGCAGACCCCGGCACACACCACCUCUCCCGGCACACACCACCUCUCCCGGCACACACCAGCUCUCCUGUGCACCUCGGCCUGUGGAGUGCAGGCCCCAGGACAUGUCACUUGCACAUUAAAUGCUGAUCAUUCUUUUUACUACUAAGAAUAAUGAAUGCCUCUUUGGCAAACUGAUACCUUCAGCCUGGUAUAGCAGGGACAGCUGUUGCCCUAUUUGAAGCCCAAGAAAUCAGCACUGUGAGCCAGUUCCUGCAAGACGGAAGACUUCUGGCAAAAAUGGCAAUGUUCUCUCACAAAAAUAGCGAGCCAUCAUCUGUAUGGAGUGGGAAAGGCUAAGGACUGUUGCCAACAUGAGAUUUUAUAGUGCUGAUGGGAAGUCAAUACUAGAUGGGACAGAAAUCUCAAUAAAAGAUACUUUGGAUUUAAGGAAGAUGUAGAACAUGCUGGGUUCUAAAUAUUUAAAACAAUUGCUUAGGCAAGCUGUGACACUUUCCUCAAAAACAUCCAAACAUUUUUUUGUUAAAUAUACAACUGCAAAAUGUUGUAUGCUAAAAUAAAAUCAUAUUUUAAAACAA